Molecule: ribosomal RNA, 346 nt
Filed under: Candidatus Saccharimonadota bacterium
Lineage: Bacteria; Candidatus Saccharimonadota
Description: bacterial SSU rRNA
Rfam family: Bacterial small subunit ribosomal RNA
Source: RNAcentral
UUUUUGAAGAGUUUGAUCCUGGCUCAGGAUGAACGCUGGCGGCGUGCCUAAUACAUGCAAGUCGAGCGGUAACAUGGACUUCGGUCUGAUGACGAGCGGCGGACGGCUGAGUAACGCGUAGGAACGUACCCCAAACUGAGGGAUAACUGCUCGAAAGAGUAGCUAAUACCGCAUGUGCUCUAAGGAGUAAAGCUUCGGCGGUUUGGGAACGGCCUGCGUACGAUUAGAUUGUUGGUGAGGUAAUGGCUCACCAAGUCGAUGAUCGUUAGCUGGUCUGAGAGGAUGAUCAGCCAGACUGGGACUGAGAACGGCCCAGACUCCUACGGGAGGCAGCAGUAGGGAAUUU